UCAUCAGGGAAUUCCCCAGACGCUUUUAGCGCAUCGGCACCGAUGCGCUAAAAUUUCAGAACAAGAAAUCCCGAUGCGCUUAAAAUUAUCAUAGCGCUUUAAAAAAUGACCGAUAUUCCUUUCUAUUGUGUCUAUAAGUUAACCCCAAUUAGCCAAAUAAACAAGCCAAUAUACAUGUCCUGUGUAGAUAAUUACCCGAGGCGUAUACACAACCCGAUACACUGAUUGCCUUGAGACUGUGUGACGUCACAGACACCUGUCAUCGAUGUCUGCAGACGACUGUUGGUGCACUUUCAGGUGUUGUCAAUUACCAUUGAACCGCGGCAUGUGUGAUAUUUACAUGUUUCAGGUAGGUGAAAUACAUUUUAUUGUUUUGAUAGUAUAAUUGGCAUUAAUUGACUUGCGAUAUAACAGUUUGAUAUUUAGGGAUGAAUGGGUUAAUUGUCUUGAUAUAAGUGUAAUGUUUAAUUUCAUCUUUCACUUUCUUACGACCGUAACGUCUAAGCAGUACUGUAGUAUUAAGAUUUCAAAAAAUAAUAUGUCUAACAUGAAUAAGGGAAGCCUAGUUCACUAUCAAUUAAAGAGUUUUUGUGAGCAAUGUCGUUGAAACUGUCUCAGGAUCAUUUUGCUAUUUAAUAUAUACAUGAUAAUCGUAUUUUACUUGGAUUAAACUGCAUAGAUAUUCAGAAUAAAUUUGGUUGAUGGCUACUUUAACAUUGAAAACAUUUACGACUGUUUAUUAUCAACUUGCAACUGAGUGAAAACAACAACAAAAACUUUACAUCAACAAUCCCACUUAGACUAAGAGACAUUGGUCAUUUUCUUUUUUAAUUGAAAAAAAAGAGUAAAAAUAUCUUGUAAACUGUUUCUGUUAACUGAAUCCCCAAAAUGUGAAAAAAAAUAAUUUUGCAGAUGGACAGCUUUGUGAAGUGCAAUCAACUGUCCAUGCCCCUUAGCAUUGGUUUGUCAGGACAUACAGGAGCUGGCCAGGCACUUUGGUGUAGAUAUGGAGCAGUGCCGCAGCCACUGGCACCAGGUACGUGCCAGUCUAGAGGGGAUUGAUCAGUCAGCCGACCAGACCAUGAUCUGGAUUACUGGCAACCUUUCUACCAGUCAUCCAGCUCUUUAAAGAAUUGCUGCUGUGGGUCUCCUCCUCCCAACCUCUACUGCAGAUUGUGAGCGAGGAUUCAGCUGCCUGAAAACAGGAAUUGUCUCUCUGUUUAAGUUCUAAACUAUCUUCUUGCCGUCUCCCUUCAAGGACCCCCAUUAGAAUCUUUCAACUUUGAGAAGGCAGUCAAGGCAUGGAAGGACAACAAACCUAGAUGACAGGCCCACUUUUAAUGAUGUUAAUGAAGAAAAAAAAACUGAAAUAUACUCAUUUAAAUGGGACACACACAUACAUAUAAAUGUUGAUCACAUGUUGUGAACUUGUGUUUAUAUAUAAUUGUUUAUUUAUUUGAAUUGUUGGAUAUGGAACAAAUAAAUAAUAAAAAUUAAGAAAAUGUUUAUCAAGUGAAAAGCUUUCAUUAUUUGUUUUAAAACAGCCCACAGCAGUAUAUUGACACCUAAAAUGGCAAAAAAUUUCGACAUGCGGUAUGGGGGUCAACACCCCCUCCCGCACCCACCCCCGUCUAAUUCAAAAAAUGUAGCGCUUAAAAAAAUUCCUGGGGAAUUCCC
Ruditapes philippinarum (Manila clam) is the source of this 1677-nucleotide long non-coding RNA. RefSeq lists it as uncharacterized. The record is from RefSeq and is a predicted model, not a curated record. Lineage: Eukaryota; Metazoa; Mollusca; Bivalvia; Venerida; Veneridae. The transcript has 3 exons.